ACUAGAAUGAAUGGCUAAAUGAGGACUCAACUGUCUCUUGCACUUUACUAAUGAAACUGAUCCCUUAGUCUAAAAGCUAAGAUCUAGCCACAAGACGAGAAGACCCUGUGGAGCUUAAAACCAAACCCAUGACCAUGGACCCCCUGGUUUUUAGUUGGGGCGACUUCGGAGCACAAAAAACCCUCCGACACGGAAUUUUACCUAAUUAGAUUAACACAUCAACUGAUUCAUGACCCAGUAGUUUACCAUAACUACCUGAUCAACGAACCAAGUUACCCCAGGGAUAACAGCGCUAUCUUCCUCUAGAGUUCCUAUCGACAGGAAGGUUUACGACCUCGAUGUUGGAUCAAGACCCCCUAAUAGUGCACCCGCUAUUGAAG
RNAcentral lists this ribosomal RNA (380 nucleotides) under Acanthodactylus scutellatus (Nidua fringe-fingered lizard). RNAcentral describes it as "partial 16S ribosomal RNA". It matches the Rfam family "Bacterial large subunit ribosomal RNA", at positions 1986 to 2570 of the family's 2925-position model. The record is from RNAcentral. Lineage: Eukaryota; Metazoa; Chordata; Lepidosauria; Squamata; Lacertidae.